This 253-nucleotide ribosomal RNA is filed under the name uncultured bacterium. RNAcentral's name for it is "partial 16S ribosomal RNA". It matches the Rfam family "Bacterial small subunit ribosomal RNA", at positions 524 to 776 of the family's 1533-position model. The record is from RNAcentral.
UACGUAGGGUGCGAGCGUUGUCCGGAAUUAUUGGGCGUAAAGAGCUCGUAGGCGGUUUGUCGCGUCGGCCGUGAAAUCUCCACGCUUAACGUGGAGCGUGCGGUCGAUACGGGCAGACUUGAGUUCGGUAGGGGAGACUGGAAUUCCUGGUGUAGCGGUGAAAUGCGCAGAUAUCAGGAGGAACACCGGUGGCGAAGGCGGGUCUCUGGGCCGAUACUGACGCUGAGGAGCGAAAGCGUGGGGAGCGAGCAGG